AGUUCUAUUUCAACCUCCCUAGUAGAACACUUCUCUCUUCUCUUCACCUUCCCGUUUUCUCGUUUUGACCGUCUAGUCUCCUCCCCUAGUUUAGGGAUCGCCGUUGGUAGCUAGGGGAAACCCGGACCGAUGUAUAGGGAGAGGGGGUUGGAAGAAGAGGUGGAGACCGGCAGCGGCGCCGGUCCGGCCGUACCGCCGCGCGGUGGAUCAUGGAGGUGGGUGAGGUGUUGCGACGUCGUGGAGGUGGGCGCGAUGGCGUUGGGUAGGUAGGUGGUCCGCGGUAGUGUAGGUCGGUGGUAGUGGAGCGCGCGGGAUGUUCUGAUCUCCAGCACCAACAAACCACGGGGCGCGCUAAGAGGUGGAGAGAAGAAGUUGGACGACGACAAGCGGGAGUUGGGAGAGACGACGAAGAGAGUGGGCCUACGGGGACGACGAGGAAGAGGGUGCAGAACGACGACGAAGAGAAGAGACUGGGGGUAACGACAACGGAAAAGGAGACUUGGGGAUGGCGACUAGGAAAAGGAGUUGAGAGAGACGACGAGGAGAGUGCGCCAGUGCGGGGACGACGAUGAGGAGAGUUUCGGGGGUGCGACGACGAGGAAAAUAAAUGGAGGAUAAGACGCGAAGAAGAGACUUGGGUUUGACCACUGCGAGGAGAAGAGAGAAAUGAAAAACGUUUAAAGACUUUGAACAUCCACUUGGAACACAUAACAAGAUUUGUGGAUUAAAGAGAUUUUAAUUCUAUACAUUAUGAAACAUUCCAAGUCUAAAAUUCUCAUGAACGUUGGACGACAAAUAAAACAAAGCAUGAACAUUGAUAUUACAUGUUAAUUAUAAACCAGAUACACUAAAAAGAAAGACUCAAUCAUUAGACGAUCGUACACAAACACAAGUAGGUAUACUUGAACAAGGUAAAACAUCAGGAACACAAUCGAGUUCAUAUACACACAAACACUACUCUUCAUGAAGAUAAUACAGGAUACUAGAACGAUAAUGUGAAAAGAAUGUACAAACUACAUAUAUAUACAAGACUACACAACAUCAAGAGGAACAACAACUACCAACGGACACGGUCAUAACAUCAAGGGUUUCAUAUUGUUUUUAUGGUUUUUCUCUCACUAAAGUUAGAAUUAGAGGGAUACGACAAAACGUAAAAGAAACAGCAGUUGGAACAAAUCAAAUCGAAAAAGAACGUAAGUAUUAGUCUUAACACAAUGGAUCGAAAUCGGCUCGUAUUAACGGCAGCGGAUCAGGGACACCUCUUGUGCUGUAGGCAUCGAACCCCGUAUUUUUGGGGCGACAUGAAAGUUAAUUAGUAAAACCGCGGCAACUACUCCUGAUCGCAGCUCGCUAACACAAUCCGAUAUCUGAUCCAAAAAGAAGUAAAAGAUCAAACACGGUAUAUAAACACAAUAUAGAGAUUAGUGAUUGGGGACAAGAUCGAUCAUAGAAAAACAAAAGAAAAGUAAAACGUCCAAUCUCGAUAGAUGAGCCAAUACCGUAUAAUAAGUCUAACAGAACCUCUACGCUCCUUGUGACGUUUGUUGUGCCUUUGAUAAGUUCUUGAGUAUUCUAAAGGGUAGCUAAUCUACUAAAUCGAGCCGUCGCUCUUCAUCAAAAACUCCUAUCCGGAUCGAGAAUACUAGGAAUAAGAUCUCCAGUAGGAAUACAACGAGGAUGUAUGGUAUAAACACCUAAAGUCCCGGUAAGUGGGCGACUUACAGUCGCACCAAUGAGAGUGAGAGGACUAACAAUACCGUACUCGAAGCGGGGUGUCGGAUCGAGUAUGGUUUUGUUAAUGAGUAUACCCACCGGACUCUUGGUCUUAUACAGUAUAUCCUCGUUGUUGGGACUCUAGAGUGGUAAACGAAGAUCAUUAGUAUAUGUCCCUAAAUCCAUGUUACUCCUCUCGGUGUUGAUACGAGCUGUUGUCUAAAUAAGUCGAGGAUGAGUAUAUGGAGUUGUGGUCCUCUACAACGGUUACCUCAAUUUACCAGGAGGUAAACCAGUUGGUUGUUGAGGUCGUUGGCGGCUCGUUAGAGUACACGUUCACGGGUGUGUUCUACUUAAGCCACUGUAUCUGUUCGAGUGUGAAAACUCAGAGCUCAAGUGAACCUCACGACUCCUACUAGGAUAAUCCUUCCAAUAUGAUCUCCUUUACUUCUUCUAGUUCUCACCCUUACUCGAUCACCUACUUCAUUUCUUCUAACUCUUCUUGUAGUUGCGACCGUCAUGAUAAAGAAGUGUCGAACUCGACUCAUUAAGACCCUUAGGGGAACUAUGUACACUCCAAGGUUAUGGUAGUGUAGAUCGACUGGUUCUAUCGUUCACGGAACUCAUUCUCUAUGGAGUCUAACUUCUUCUACUUGACCUUCUGUUCCUUGUUCUACUAGUUCUCGAUGUUAAGGGUUCACUAGUUCAACUUCUGAGUAGUAGAUGAUGAGAACUUCUUCAUGUUCUUCGAUGACAUCUACUUCUACUUCUUCGACUCUAAGUAACCGGAUAACAGUAUGUACUCGCACUACACAGUCCAAGCUCCACUGUAAGGAACCCUGGGGCCACCUAAAUCUCGUACCACUUUUCCUCUUCGUUACCCGUGUAUGUUCCUUCUCUUUUCGACCUCGUACGUGCUCCUAUCUCUCGUACUCCUAUCUCUUCGUUUUCCUCUCCUCAGUGUUACGUUCUCCUACACUCUACUAGCUCGCUCAAGAUGAAGUAUUUCGGACCACAUAUGGUACACGAGACCUAGCCACCAUACAAGGAAACCCCUCCGUUUGUUUUUUUGAUUAUUAACCAGCUCGGCCCAUAUAAGGUACAAGAGCCCUAGCCACCAUACAAGGAAACCACUCUAGCUAUUUUAUAAUAGUAACGAAAUAAAGACAUUUAUUCACUAGACUAGUGUUCACAUACAAGAAAAACAAGAGCCCUAGUACGAGAGAAAUCCUUGGAAGCCGUGUUAGUAGUAAACUUGAUCAACUAGAAGAAAAUAGUAACAUUUUCAAAUUUUACCAGUUCAGAUGAUUAUAGGAUGGUGAAACUUCGUGAGGAUUGGUAAUUAAAAGUGAUCGAUCCAAGUUUCGUACGAAACAAACCUCUAGAUGAAGUGAACCGUAAGAGAUCAGUCGAGUGACAAGUGUUAGAACGAGAACAGUAUAAGGAAACGAACUCCUGUUCGUUUCUAAAUUCACGCCCCCUUGAACUAUCUCGUAAAGGAGUAUAUUAGAAAAAUAGGAAAAACGUGGUGUAACAUUAGUAUAAAAGUGUAAAAAAUGAAGUCUUUAUAAGUUUAUGGGGGUAAUACGAUGUAAAUGUUGUGAGGAGGUACAAAACGUCUUUUCCCGCUUUUCCGGGUUUUAGGAAGAUAUUAUCUCUCACAGUUCUUUGAUACCAACGACAUUGAAUGCCUCCCUGGGUUGGCACUUCUUUUCUUCAUUGGUCUCCCUAGUUCUAUUUCAACCUCCCUAGUAGAACACUUCUCUCUUCUCUUCACCUUCCCGUUUUCUCGUUUUGACCGUCUAGUCUCCUCCCCUAGUUUAGGGAUCGCCGUUGGUAGCUAGGGGAAACCCGGACCGAUGUAUAGGGAGAGGGGGUUGGAAGAAGAGGUGGAGACCGGCAGUGGCGCCGGUCCGGUCGUACCGCCGCACGGUGGGUCAUGGAGGUGGGUGAGGUGUUGCGACGUCGUGGAGGUGGGCGCGAUGGCGUUGGGUAGGUAGGUGGUCCGCGGUAGUGUAGGUCGGUGGUAGUGGAGCGCGCGGGAUGUUCUGAUCUCCAGCACCAACAGACCACGGGGUGCGGUAGGAGGUGGAGAGAAGAAGUUGGACGACGACAAGCGGGAGUUGGGAGAGACGACGAAGAGAGUGGGUCUACGGGGACGACGAGGAAGAGGGUGCAGAACGACGACGAAGAGAAGAGACUGGGGGUAACAACAACGGAAGAGGAGACUUGGGGAUGACAACUAGGAAAAGGAGUUGAGAGAGACGACGAGGAGAGUGCGGGGACGACGAUGAGGAGAGUUUCGGGAGUGCGACGACGAGGAAAAGAAAUGGAGGAUAAGACGCGAAGAAGAGACUUGGGUUUGUCCACGGCGAGGAGAAGAGAGAAAUGAAAAACGUUUAAAGACUUUGAACAUCCACUUGGAACACAUAACAAGGUUUGUGGAUUAAAAACAUUUUAACUCUAUACAUUAUGAAACAUUCCAAGUCUAAAAUUCUCAUGAACGUUGGACGACAAACAAAACAAAGCAUGAACAUUGAUAUCACAUGUAAAUUAUAAGCCAGAUACACUAAAAAGAAAGACUCAAUCAUUAGACGAUCGUACACAAACACAAGUAGGUAUACUUGAACAAGGUAAAACAUCAGGAACACAAUCGAGUUCAUAUACACACAAACACUACUCUUCAUGAAGAUAAUACAGGAUACUAGAACGAUA
Molecule: ribosomal RNA, 4428 nt
Filed under: Triticum aestivum (bread wheat)
Lineage: Eukaryota; Viridiplantae; Streptophyta; Magnoliopsida; Poales; Poaceae
Description: partial small subunit ribosomal RNA
Source: RNAcentral